UUCGAAAUACAACACAUCACGGUGGUACUUUCCCACAUCACGCACAUCGUAUGCAAGAAGGGUCGGUGGUUUGGUUGGUUAGUUAGAAAAAGAAAGUGCUUAUUUUAUCAGAACAUUAGUAAACCAGUUUCUUUUGCUAAGCUACGCAUAGAAAAUAGGACUGUUUAUGGUGUUAGUCAAGACAAAGAGGAGCCAUGCAUCUGAGGUUGAGGGAAACACGCAAGUUUCAUCUCUCCGGAUUCGGCGAGUCAGAACGAGACCAACUUGUCAGAUAUGUUUUGGAUCUUAAGGCGCAAUAUUUAGAGUCAAGGGAUUAUCUGGCAGAAUGCACGCAUAUUGUUAGUCAACGACCAAUGAGGAGUGAGAAAUACUUAUGUGGUUGUGCUGCUGGAAAGUGGGUUUUGGUGAAGGAUUACAUUGUGAAGAGUCACAAAGUUGGUCGCUGGCUUGAAGAGUGUGAUUAUGAGUGGGGAAGCCCUGCUACAAAGCAUCUCAGUUAUUCUCUUGGGAUGAAUAGUCCAAGGCGUUGGCGUGAAUAUGUUGAACGGACAGGAAAACGUGCAUUCAGUGACUGGACUGUAGGAUUGAUUAUUGAGAAUAUAGAAAGACGACCUAAUGUCUAUAAGAGGUUGCUCCAGACAGGAGGAGCCAAGGUUGUUAGCAUGUCGACAGCCAAUACUGCAGAUCUAACACAUAUUCUUGUAGAUAAAGCCUACAGAAGCAAAAUCAAAACUUUUGCUAUGAAAGGUGUCAUCUGCGUAGUUCCGGAUUUUCUUGCUGAGGUCCUUUUUGAGGAAUCUCCAAAUGUUAGCAAGUAUCAUGUGUUAAGUGUCAACGUAACAUUGUCACCAGUUGUCAGUAUCAGUGACAUGAUAGGUUCGCAAUGCCCUUCUUCGUUGACAAACAGCACCUGCAGUUCUGCAUCAGUGGUUGUCAGUGCCUCUUCAUCAAAGAGUAUCUGUGAUCCAUUCACAAGGGCCAUGCAUGGUUGUGCAGCAAAGAACUCUGUUGGCUCUUCUACUAAGAGGAUGUCUGCUUCAUCAACCACCAACUCUGGAUCAUUAACAAGAUUUGCAAUUGCUUCCUGUACUAAAGUCGCCCAUGAUUUGUCUGCAACGAAAAUCACAGGGUUUCAAACCAUCACAUCGAGGUCAGCCGGUACAAGGUCAAGAUCUGUAAGGCAGUUAAGCAAUGACAGCAAAAACAUGAUUGCACAUAGUAAACUUUCUAGAAAGACUGCUUUAUCAGAUAUUGGGAAGCAGAAAGAGAUGAGAUCUCCAACAAGGUAUCUAAAUAGCACACCAGAGAAAAAGGCAGUGGCAAUCAAAAGGAAAUUGGUGUUCACAGAAAGUGAGGUGAAAGAGGCUUUGAAACAUGUUAAACGACAAAAGCUUGAAACACCAACAUAUUCAGUGAAUCCAUACAUGAUGCAGGCUUUACCAAAGCAAGGCAGUCAACUGACAUGUGCAGCGCCAUUCUAUAACUUAACAUCCAACAUCAUUGAAGGAGCUAUCGAGGAAGGCCUGUGGGAAGAGGCGGUACACAUGGCAAAGACUGAAACAUCAACUUUCCGUUACCCUCCACCCAGGGUGCUACACACAUUUAUGCAGGAAAUGCUAGUGACUGAAAGUAGUCCAUUAGCCCGUGACUUAUUUAGUGUGUUGACAAGAUGCCAGUGUCUUCACCCUCCAUCAGGCAUGCAUCUGCCUAUCAACAUUAUGUACUUGCAGUCCUUCUGUACAGAGGGGGUAAUGAAGAGUAAUGAGAAAAGCUCAGAAUUGUACUUCUGUUGUGACACUCCAUGGGACUUUAUGAAUUAUGUGAUUUGUGGAGCCAUUUCUGCAGGCCAGGAGUCAAAAGCAGUGGAAAGAGGUCAAUGUUUGUUACUUCUUCACUACUUGGUGGCACUGUUUGAACAAGACUUCAAGGCAUUUUGCGACAGGUGGCGGAACAAAGACAAAAUGAGGCAAGGAGUUGAAGAGACGAUGGUGGCAAAAGUACUGUGGCCAAGGGGACCUGUCAAGCCCACUGUUCCUUUUGUAAGGAAGCUGAUGGACUACUUAGUGCAGGCACUAGACAUGGUCACUGUUGACAAGGGUAGUGAGAGCCAGGCCUGCUAUGGCCAGGCCAGUGAUGAAAAGUCAUCAUGGAAGUGCCUUAGAUUACUCCAAGCUUUAUUUGGCAUGGCAGCAGAGUGUUGUAGGAUUGCUGAAUCCAAAGAACCAAAUGCUGUGUUGACAGGAAUCAGUGAGGAGGGGCUUGGCUCAGACCUGGUCAGAGAAAUGGUCUCAAGGUUGAAACAAAGUGGUAUGUUGAUCAACCAGAAGUGCGUUGAACUGUUUCUUGAUACAUUGACCUGUUCAUGGGUCAAGACCAUGUCUUUGGUCACAAUCCUGUCAACCUAUGACAGUGCUUUGGUGGCUAAUAGUAACAGCAAGAUGAAGGACCAAAAACUUUCUCUUGGAAAAAUUGUUACUUGGUAUUUCUACCUUCUACCAGAAUCUACCUCGCGCAUCAAUGCAGUACGUGCCCCAACAAAGACACCAGAUGUUCCAAAGGUACAAAUAAAAAGUGAAAGACCAUUGAAAGUAAACAAAAGGAAUGCGAAAGGUGAGACUGCUCUACAGACAGCCUGCAUCAAGGGAAAUCUUUCCAAAGUGAAAGAACUGUUGAAGGAACCCGGCAUUGAUGUGAACAGUCAGGACAAUGCAGGAUGGACUGCAAUGCAUGAGGCUUGCAACCAUGGGCAUGUAGCCUGUGUCAAGGAGCUAUUGCGAUUUAGACCCUUUAGGACUAUUAUGGACUACUUUGACAAGAGUAAAACCUCAUGGACUGGAUUAAAUUUACUUGCAGCGCCCUCUUGCGGUACAACUCCUUUGCAUGAUGCUGUUAUCAAUGGCAGAAUUGAAAUUGCAAGACUGCUGGUUCAGUCAAAGGGAAAGAAACUGCUUUCAGCUAUGAAUGUAGAUGGAUACACUCCUCUGGACUACGCUGUUACAACCGAGAUGAAAGCAGCAUUGUUGUCAUUUGACAAGGAGAACAAUGUUGAAGAAUCGCCAAGUAUGUCAAGUGUUGACAAGGUUCACAACAGCUCUAUGCCUGAUGACCAAACGUAUCGUGAAGUUCUCGGUCAGCCUCCAGUUUUGGUUGAUUCUACGAAAUGUGCAAUAUUUGCUACGUUGAUCCAACAUCUUCUGAUGGAUUACAUUAUACGCAAUGACCUGCAGAUACUGAGGCAAGAAGUAGAUUGUGCUCAAUCUAGAAUUCAUAAUGUCAAAGUACGCCCUCUAUCAUCUAAUGGGCAAACAUCCCAACCAGGCUCUGAUAUCCGGGCUAUACUGCCAGAAUGCGUGAAACAGUCCAAUGAGGAAAGAGUUCUGUGCGACUUGACUGUUUUUAGUCAACUGAAUGAUCAUCUCUCCAACUUCCAUAAGCACUUGAGCAAGAUAAGCAUAGGUACCAGUGCAUCAAUAUUGUUGAGGUUACAAAUGCUAGGCGGCUUUGUAGAUAAUAGUGCUGAUUUGUAGUUAUGCAUACUACUGGACUGUGCUAGCUAAUGCCUCCUGUCAUAACUAAACGUGUGGGCUGUGGAUUAUUGGGUGCUCAUAGGACUAGCAAAUGCCUCAGCAACGUGUACAAAAGUUGUAUAUUAGAAGUUUAAAGUACCAAAGAUGUAGCAGAGGGCAUUCUUUUAUGUCGCACUUGUGUAUAUAUAUAAUUUUAUAUUUCAUGUUAACGACAUUGAACAUUUUUUAAAACAUUGUAUGCUAAUAUGUUACGGAAAUAUUUAACGCUUAUACCUUGAUAUCUACUUUAGUUCAAACGUAAUAUAUCUGCAUGUUCAUUUAUCUUAUUACUGUAAUGGAUUAUAUACUAGUACAGUACAAGGCAAGAAGAAAUAUAAGCCAAGACGUUGAAAACUUAACUUUUUAUUGUUUUUCUCAGUCAUUUUCAUGUAUUUUGUUAGGAUCAUCAAACAGACGGUGCUACCAAUGCUAGAUCCCUAUACUGUAGUAUGCUCAAGUAAACCAACAAAAAUGAUAAAGUGUAAACUUCAGCAAACAUUACCUCCAAUGUAUGCUUCUUUGGUAGUCAAUGGUUCUAAAUUUUAAACAAAUAAAAAAUGAGAACCUACAUCAACAAGUGCCAUGGAAAUUCAGACAAACUAAAGGUGGGAUUGGAACAAAUAUAUGAAAACCCAGUUUGUAAAAGAUUGUCAAAAACCCUGUACAACAGAGAUGAUGGAAGAAACAGGCUGGUAUUCAACAUGCACAUGUGGCAUAUAUCUAAUGCACAGCACUAUAUCUAUCCACUAUAGUAUCACUAAAUUAUUAAAGCUACUGUUAAUGAAUAAGCAGCAAAAGCAU
Molecule: unclassified non-coding RNA, 4367 nt
Filed under: Anneissia japonica
Lineage: Eukaryota; Metazoa; Echinodermata; Crinoidea; Comatulida; Comatulidae
Description: sMC5-SMC6 complex localization factor protein 1-like, transcript variant X1
Source: RNAcentral